This is a small nuclear RNA of Cricetulus griseus (Chinese hamster), 88 nucleotides long. Its record names the gene U2. It matches the Rfam family "U2 spliceosomal RNA". Rfam says of the family: U2 is a small nuclear RNA (snRNA) component of the spliceosome (involved in pre-mRNA splicing). Complementary binding between U2 snRNA (in an area lying towards the 5' end but 3' to hairpin I) and the branchpoint sequence (BPS) of the intron results the bulging out of an unpaired adenosine, on the BPS, which initiates a nucleophilic attack at the intronic 5' splice site, thus starting the first of two transesterification reactions that mediate splicing. The record is from Ensembl. NCBI's taxonomy places the organism in Eukaryota, Metazoa, Chordata, Mammalia, Rodentia, Cricetidae.
AUUGCUUCUCGGCAUUUUGGCUAAGAUCAAGUGUAGUAUCUAUUCUUAUCAGAAUAUAUUCUUAUUCAAACCACAACAUAGACUUUUC